This 466-nucleotide ribosomal RNA is filed under the name uncultured bacterium. RNAcentral describes it as "partial 16S ribosomal RNA". It matches the Rfam family "Bacterial small subunit ribosomal RNA", at positions 28 to 507 of the family's 1533-position model. The record is from RNAcentral.
GACGAACGCUGGCGGCGUGCUUAACACAUGCAAGUCGAACGGAAAGGUCCUGCUUGCAGGGUAAUCGAGUGGUGAACGGGUGAGUAAUACGUGGGUGAUCUGAACUGCACUUCGGGAUAAGCUUGGAAAACUGGGAAUAAUACCGGAUAGGAGCUAUCUUUAGUGUGGUGGUUGGAAAGUUUUUUUGGUGUAGGAUGAGCUCGAGGCCUAUCAGAUUGUUGGUGGGGUAAUGGCUUACAAAGGCGGCGACGGGUGGCCGGUCUGAGAUGUGGUACGGCCACAAGCCAAAUUGGAAACGGCCCACACUCCUGCGGGAUGCGGGAGUGAGGAGUAUUGCACAAUGGGCGCUAGCCUGAUGCAUCGUCGCGGCGUGGGGGGUGAAUGCCGUCGGGUUGUAAACUCCUUUCGCUAUUUACGAAGCAUUUUUGUGACGGUACCUAGAGAAUAAGCACCGGCUAACUACGUG